This 397-nucleotide RNase P RNA is filed under the name Ignavibacteria bacterium. RNAcentral describes it as "RNase P RNA component class A". It matches the Rfam family "Bacterial RNase P class A". Rfam says of the family: Ribonuclease P (RNase P) is a ubiquitous endoribonuclease, found in archaea, bacteria and eukarya as well as chloroplasts and mitochondria. Its best characterised activity is the generation of mature 5'-ends of tRNAs by cleaving the 5'-leader elements of precursor-tRNAs. Lineage: Bacteria; Pseudomonadati; Ignavibacteriota; Ignavibacteria. The record is from RNAcentral.
UGGGGAAAGCGGGCAAUCGCGUUUCUUAUGAAAUGAGGAAAGUCCGAACACCGCAGAACAAGAUGCUUCGUAACACGAAGACAGCGAGCAAUUAAGCAAGUUGAUGGAAAGUGCAACAGAAAGUAUACCGCCUUGGCUUUGGCUUGGGUAAGGGUGAAAUGGUGAGGCAAGAGCUUACCAGUGGAGCAAGUGAUUGUUCCAGCUUGGCAAACCCCAUCUGGUGCAAGAUAAAAUAGGAGUGUAGCUGUCUCGGCAGAUCGGGUUGUUCGCCCGAUUGAAUUUUUUUUCUAUAUACUCGGGUAUAUCGCUUGAGCUAAAUGGCGACAUUUAGCCCAGAUUAAUGAUUGCCUCAAGCUUCGGCUUAAGACAGAAUUCGGCUUAUAGCUUUCUCUAUUUU